Molecule: ribosomal RNA, 433 nt
Filed under: uncultured bacterium
Lineage: Bacteria
Description: bacterial SSU rRNA
Rfam family: Bacterial small subunit ribosomal RNA
Source: RNAcentral
AACGAACGCUGGCGGCAGGCCUAACACAUGCAAGUCGAGCGAUCCCUUCGGGGAUAGCGGCGGACGGGUGAGUAACGCGUGGGAACGUACCCUUUGCUACGGAAUAGCCUCGGGAAACUGGGAGUAAUACCGUAUGUGCCCUUCGGGGGAAAGAUUUAUCGGCAAAGGAUCGACCCGCGUUAGAUUAGGUAGUUGGUGGGGUAAUGGCCUACCAAGCCUACGAUCCAUAGCUGGUUUGAGAGGAUGAUCAGCCACACUGGGACUGAGACACGGCCCAGACUCCUACGGGAGGCAGCAGUGGGGAAUCUUAGACAAUGGGGGCAACCCUGAUCUAGCCAUGCCGCGUGAGUGAUGAAGGCCUUAGGGUUGUAAAGCUCUUUCAGCUGGGAAGAUAAUGACGGUACCAGCAGAAGAAGCCCCGGCUAACUCCGUG